RNAcentral lists this ribosomal RNA (724 nucleotides) under uncultured Microbacteriaceae bacterium. Its description in RNAcentral is "bacterial SSU rRNA". It matches the Rfam family "Bacterial small subunit ribosomal RNA", at positions 56 to 789 of the family's 1533-position model. Lineage: Bacteria; Bacillati; Actinomycetota; Actinomycetes; Micrococcales; Microbacteriaceae. The record is from RNAcentral.
UGCAGUCGAACGAUGAAAGCUGGAGCUUGCUCUAGCUGGAUUAGUGGCGAACGGGUGAGUAACACGUGAGCAAUCUGCCCUGGACUCUGGGAUAACCCCGAGAAAUCGGAGCUAAUACCGGAUACGACACCUCCCGGCAUCGGGUGGGUGUGGAAAGAAUUUCGGUCCAGGAUGAGCUCGCGGCCUAUCAGCUUGUUGGUGAGGUAACGGCUCACCAAGGCGACGACGGGUAGCCGGCCUGAGAGGGUGACCGGCCACACUGGGACUGAGACACGGCCCAGACUCCUACGGGAGGCAGCAGUGGGGAAUAUUGCACAAUGGGCGCAAGCCUGAUGCAGCAACGCCGCGUGGGGGACGAAGGCCUUCGGGUUGUAAACCUCUUUUAGUAGGGAAGAAGCGCAAGUGACGGUACCUACAGAAAAAGCACCGGCUAACUACGUGCCAGCAGCCGCGGUAAUACGUAGGGUGCAAGCGUUGUCCGGAAUUAUUGGGCGUAAAGAGCUCGUAGGCGGUUUGUCGCGUCUGCUGUGAAAAUCCGAGGCUCAACCUCGGACCUGCAGUGGGUACGGGCAAACUAGAGUGCGGUAGGGGGAGAUUGGAAUUCCUGGUGUAGCGGUGGAAUGCGCAGAUAUCAGGAGGAACACCAAUGGCGAAGGCAGAUCUCUGGGCCGUAACUGACGCUGAGGAGCGAAAGCGUGGGGAGCGAACAGGAUUAGAUACCCUG